AUCAAAUCAAAUUCAAUCAAAAUUUCAAAAGAAUUAUGUAAAGAACACAAAGUAUUCUUAAAAAAUAUUUAAAAGAAUCAUAAAGAAAUAAUAUAGAAUUCAAAAAUAUACUAAAAUAGAAAUCUUAAUAAAAUAUUAAAAUGAAAACCUUAAUUAAAUCCUAGUCAAAUCCUAAAAAAAUCCUAAACAAUUCCUAAUCAAAUCUUAAAUAAACCAUAGUCAAAUCCUAAACAAAUCUUAACCGAAUUCUAGUCAAAUCUUAACAAAUUCUAACCAAAUCCUAAUCAAACUCUAAACAAAUCCUACUCAAAUCCUAACAAAUUCUAACCAAAUCUUAAUCAAAUUCUAACCAAAUCCUAAUCAAAUCCUAAAUAAAUCUUAAAUAAACCUUAAUAAAAUCCUAAUCAAAUCCUAAAUAAACCUUAAUCAAAUCCUAACCAAAUCUUAAUCAAAUCCUAACUAAACUCUAAACAAAUCCUAAACAAAUCUUAACCAAAUCCUAGUCAAAUCCUAAUCAAAUCCUAAAUAAACCUUAACCAAAACCUAAUCAAAUCUUAAAUAAAUCCUAAACAAAUCCUAAUCAAAUCCUAGUCAAA
This 596-nucleotide long non-coding RNA is filed under the name Physcomitrium patens. Its description in RNAcentral is "long non-coding RNA (PPAT_LNC000398)". The record is from RNAcentral. Lineage: Eukaryota; Viridiplantae; Streptophyta; Bryopsida; Funariales; Funariaceae.